AACGAACGCUGGCGGCAUGCCUAACACAUGCAAGUCGAACGAGACCUUCGGGUCUAGUGGCGCACGGGUGCGUAACGCGUGGGAACCUGCCCUUAGGUUCGGAAUAACUCCCCGAAAGGGGUGCUAAUACCGGAUAAUGUCUUCGGACCAAAGAUUUAUCGCCUUUGGAUGGGCCCGCGUUGGAUUAGCUAGUUGGUAGGGUAAAAGCCUACCAAGGCGACGAUCCAUAGCUGGUCUUAGAGGAUAAUCAGCCACACUGGGACUGAGACACGGACCAGACUGCUACGGGAGGCAGCAGUAGGGAAUAUUGGACAAUGGGCGAAAGCCUGAUCCAGCAAUGCCGCGUGAGUGAUGAAGGCCUUAUGGUUGUAAAGCUCUUUUACCCGGGAUGAUAAUGACAGUACCGGAAGAAUAAGCUCCGGCUAACUCCGUG
This 433-nucleotide ribosomal RNA is filed under the name uncultured bacterium. RNAcentral's name for it is "partial 16S ribosomal RNA". It matches the Rfam family "Bacterial small subunit ribosomal RNA", at positions 29 to 507 of the family's 1533-position model. The record is from RNAcentral.